GACGAACGCUGGCGGCGUGCUUAACACAUGCAAGUCGAGCGGUAAGGCCUUUCGGGGUACACGAGCGGCGAACGGGUGAGUAACACGUGGGUGAUCUGCCCUGCACUUCGGGAUAAGCCUGGGAAACUGGGUCUAAUACCGGAUAUGACCUCCUAUCGCAUGGUGGGUGGUGGAAAGAUUUAUCGGUGCAGGAUGGGCCCGCGGCCUAUCAGCUUGUUGGUGGGGUAAUGGCCUACCAAGGCGACGACGGGUAGCCGACCUGGGAGGGUGACCGGCCACACUGGGACUGAGACACGGCCCAGACUCCUACGGGAGGCAGCAGUGGGGAAUAUUGCACAAUGGGCGAAAGCCUGAUGCAGCGACGCCGCGUGAGGGAUGACGGCCUUCGGGUUGUAAACCUCUUUCAGCAGGGACGAAGCGCAAGUGACGGUACCUGCAGAAGAAGCACCGGCUAACUACGUG
RNAcentral lists this ribosomal RNA (462 nucleotides) under uncultured bacterium. RNAcentral's name for it is "partial 16S ribosomal RNA". It matches the Rfam family "Bacterial small subunit ribosomal RNA", at positions 28 to 507 of the family's 1533-position model. The record is from RNAcentral.